This 350-nucleotide long non-coding RNA is filed under the name Nicotiana benthamiana. RNAcentral's name for it is "long non-coding RNA (NBEN_LNC011849)". Lineage: Eukaryota; Viridiplantae; Streptophyta; Magnoliopsida; Solanales; Solanaceae. The record is from RNAcentral.
CCAUCUGUUAAUUUGAACUUGGGUUUGCAUAACGUACAUAUUUCAGUUGUCAUAAGAUAAAUGUUAGUUUUUGCUGACUAGCAUAUCAUAUUCAACAGUAUAUAUGCUAGUUAACAACAGAAAUUUCCAAGAUGAAACAACAACAACUACCCAGUAUAGUCUCACAAAGUGGGGUCUGGGGAGGGUAAUAUGUAGACGGGUCUUACCCCUACCCGGAAGGGCAGAAAGGCUGUUUUCAAUCGACCCUCGGCUCAGUGAAGGAAAGGAACAACAAAAACACAAACAACACAAAAGAGCAUUAGUAGCUUCAGCAGAAAUAGCGUAAAUAAUUAUCUAAACAUAAGAACCAU